This is a non-coding RNA of Ornithorhynchus anatinus (platypus), 85 nucleotides long. The record is from Rfam. NCBI's taxonomy places the organism in Eukaryota, Metazoa, Chordata, Mammalia, Monotremata, Ornithorhynchidae.
AGCCAAUCAGAAAUGAGCUUAUCCAUAAAAGUACAGUAUCGUCAGUAAACCUGUACUUUUAUGGAUAAGCUAGUCUCUGAUUGAA